This 497-nucleotide ribosomal RNA is filed under the name uncultured bacterium. Its description in RNAcentral is "partial 16S ribosomal RNA". It matches the Rfam family "Bacterial small subunit ribosomal RNA", at positions 28 to 507 of the family's 1533-position model. The record is from RNAcentral.
GACGAACGCUGGCGGCGUGCCUAAUACAUGCAAGUUGAGCGCUGAAGGUUGGUACUUGUACCAACUGGAUGAGCAGCGAACGGGUGAGUAACGCGUGGGGAAUCUGCCUUUGAGCGGGGGACAACAUUUGGAAACGAAUGCUAAUACCGCAUAAAAACUUUAAACACAAGUUUUAAGUUUGAAAGAUGCAAUUGCAUCACUCAAAGAUGAUCCCGCGUUGUAUUAGCUAGUUGGUGAGGUAAAGGCUCACCAAGGCGAUGAUACAUAGCCGACCUGAGAGGGUGAUCGGCCACAUUGGGACUGGGACACGGCCCAAACGCCUACGGGAGGCAGCAGUAGGGAAUCUUCGGCAAUGGACGAAAGUCUGACCGAGCAACGCCGCGUGAGUGAAGAAGGGUUUCGGAUCGUAAAACUCUGUUGGUAGAGAAGAACGUUGGUGAGAGUGGAAAGCUCAUCAAGUGACGGUAACUACCCAGAAAGGGACGGCUAACUACGUG